Molecule: ribosomal RNA, 3135 nt
Filed under: Mycobacterium tuberculosis SUMu001
Lineage: Bacteria; Bacillati; Actinomycetota; Actinomycetes; Mycobacteriales; Mycobacteriaceae
Description: bacterial LSU rRNA
Rfam family: Bacterial large subunit ribosomal RNA
Source: RNAcentral
GUAAGUGUCUAAGGGCGCAUGGUGGAUGCCUUGGCAUCGAGAGCCGAUGAAGGACGUGGGAGGCUGCGAUAUGCCUCGGGGAGCUGUCAACCGAGCGUGGAUCCGAGGAUUUCCGAAUGGGGAAACCCAGCACGAGUGAUGUCGUGCUACCCGCAUCUGAAUAUAUAGGGUGCGGGAGGGAACGCGGGGAAGUGAAACAUCUCAGUACCCGUAGGAGGAGAAAACAAUUGUGAUUCCGCAAGUAGUGGCGAGCGAACGCGGAACAGGCUAAACCGCACGCAUGGGUAACCGGGUAGGGGUUGUGUGUGCGGGGUUGUGGGAGGAUAUGUCUCAGCGCUACCCGGCUGAGAGGCAGUCAGAAAGUGUCGUGGUUAGCGGAAGUGGCCUGGGAUGGUCUGCCGUAGACGGUGAGAGCCCGGUACGCGAAAACCCGGCACCUGCCUAGUAUCAAUUCCCGAGUAGCAGCGGGCCCGUGGAAUCCGCUGUGAAUCCGCCGGGACCACCCGGUAAGCCUAAAUACUCCUCGAUGACCGAUAGCGGAUUAGUACCGUGAGGGAAUGGUGAAAAGUACCCCGGGAGGGGAGUGAAAGAGUACCUGAAACCGUGUGCCUACAAUCCGUCAGAGCCUCCUUUUCCUCUCCGGAGGAGGGUGGUGAUGGCGUGCCUUUUGAAGAAUGAGCCUGCGAGUCAGGGACAUGUCGCAAGGUUAACCCGUGUGGGGUAGCCGCAGCGAAAGCGAGUCUGAAUAGGGCGACCCACACGCGCAUACGCGCGUGUGAAUAGUGGCGUGUUCUGGACCCGAAGCGGAGUGAUCUACCCAUGGCCAGGGUGAAGCGCGGGUAAGACCGCGUGGAGGCCCGAACCCACUUAGGUUGAAGACUGAGGGGAUGAGCUGUGGGUAGGGGUGAAAGGCCAAUCAAACUCCGUGAUAGCUGGUUCUCCCCGAAAUGCAUUUAGGUGCAGCGUUGCGUGGUUCACCGCGGAGGUAGAGCUACUGGAUGGCCGAUGGGCCCUACUAGGUUACUGACGUCAGCCAAACUCCGAAUGCCGUGGUGUAAAGCGUGGCAGUGAGACGGCGGGGGAUAAGCUCCGUACGUCGAAAGGGAAACAGCCCAGAUCGCCGGCUAAGGCCCCCAAGCGUGUGCUAAGUGGGAAAGGAUGUGCAGUCGCAAAGACAACCAGGAGGUUGGCUUAGAAGCAGCCACCCUUGAAAGAGUGCGUAAUAGCUCACUGGUCAAGUGAUUGUGCGCCGAUAAUGUAGCGGGGCUCAAGCACACCGCCGAAGCCGCGGCACAUCCACCUUGUGGUGGGUGUGGGUAGGGGAGCGUCCCUCAUUCAGCGAAGCCACCGGGUGACCGGUGGUGGAGGGUGGGGAGUGAGAAUGCAGGCAUGAGUAGCGACAAGGCAAGUGAGAACCUUGCCCGCCGAAAGACCAAGGGUUCCUGGGCCAGGCCAGUCCGCCCAGGGUGAGUCGGGACCUAAGGCGAGGCCGACAGGCGUAGUCGAUGGACAACGGGUUGAUAUUCCCGUACCCGUGUGUGGGCGCCCGUGACGAAUCAGCGGUACUAACCACCCAAAACCGGAUCGAUCACUCCCCUUCGGGGGUGUGGAGUUCUGGGGCUGCGUGGGAACUUCGCUGGUAGUAGUCAAGCGAAGGGGUGACGCAGGAAGGUAGCCGUACCAGUCAGUGGUAACACUGGGGCAAGCCGGUAGGGAGAGCGAUAGGCAAAUCCGUCGCUCACUAAUCCUGAGAGGUGACGCAUAGCCGGUUGAGGCGAAUUCGGUGAUCCUCUGCUGCCAAGAAAAGCCUCUAGCGAGCACACACACGGCCCGUACCCCAAACCGACACAGGUGGUCAGGUAGAGCAUACCAAGGCGUACGAGAUAACUAUGGUUAAGGAACUCGGCAAAAUGCCCCCGUAACUUCGGGAGAAGGGGGACCGGAAUAUCGUGAACACCCUUGCGGUGGGAGCGGGAUCCGGUCGCAGAAACCAGUGAGGAGCGACUGUUUACUAAAAACACAGGUCCGUGCGAAGUCGCAAGACGAUGUAUACGGACUGACGCCUGCCCGGUGCUGGAAGGUUAAGAGGACCCGUUAACCCGCAAGGGUGAAGCGGAGAAUUUAAGCCCCAGUAAACGGCGGUGGUAACUAUAACCAUCCUAAGGUAGCGAAAUUCCUUGUCGGGUAAGUUCCGACCUGCACGAAUGGCGUAACGACUUCUCAACUGUCUCAACCAUAGACUCGGCGAAAUUGCACUACGAGUAAAGAUGCUCGUUACGCGCGGCAGGACGAAAAGACCCCGGGACCUUCACUACAACUUGGUAUUGAUGUUCGGUACGGUUUGUGUAGGAUAGGUGGGAGACUGUGAAACCUCGACGCCAGUUGGGGCGGAGUCGUUGUUGAAAUACCACUCUGAUCGUAUUGGGCAUCUAACCUCGAACCCUGAAUCGGGUUUAGGGACAGUGCCUGGCGGGUAGUUUAACUGGGGCGGUUGCCUCCUAAAAUGUAACGGAGGCGCCCAAAGGUUCCCUCAACCUGGACGGCAAUCAGGUGGCGAGUGUAAAUGCACAAGGGAGCUUGACUGCGAGACUUACAAGUCAAGCAGGGACGAAAGUCGGGAUUAGUGAUCCGGCACCCCCGAGUGGAAGGGGUGUCGCUCAACGGAUAAAAGGUACCCCGGGGAUAACAGGCUGAUCUUCCCCAAGAGUCCAUAUCGACGGGAUGGUUUGGCACCUCGAUGUCGGCUCGUCGCAUCCUGGGGCUGGAGCAGGUCCCAAGGGUUGGGCUGUUCGCCCAUUAAAGCGGCACGCGAGCUGGGUUUAGAACGUCGUGAGACAGUUCGGUCUCUAUCCGCCGCGCGCGUCAGAAACUUGAGGAAACCUGUCCCUAGUACGAGAGGACCGGGACGGACGAACCUCUGGUGCACCAGUUGUCCCGCCAGGGGCACCGCUGGAUAGCCACGUUCGGUCAGGAUAACCGCUGAAAGCAUCUAAGCGGGAAACCUUCUCCAAGAUCAGGUUUCUCACCCACUUGGUGGGAUAAGGCCCCCCGCAGAACACGGGUUCAAUAGGUCAGACCUGGAAGCUCAGUAAUGGGUGUAGGGAACUGGUGCUAACCGGCCGAAAACUUACAACA